This is a microRNA precursor of Mustela putorius furo (domestic ferret), 89 nucleotides long. Lineage: Eukaryota; Metazoa; Chordata; Mammalia; Carnivora; Mustelidae. The record is from Ensembl.
UCAUAACUUUCUCAAAAAGUUCUCCUUUUGGGCUUUAAACGCUCCAGGCUUAGCCUCAGCCAAAAGGUGAAUAUUUGGAAAGUUUCUGC